UGGGGAAUUUUGGACAAUGGGGGAAACCCUGCUCCAGCCAUCCCGCGUGUGCGAUGAAGGCCUUCGGGUUGUAAAGCACUUUUGGCAGGAAAGAAACGUCAUGGGUUAAUACCCCGUGAAACUGACGGUACCUGCAGAAUAAGCACCGGCUAACUACGUGCCAGCAGCCGCGGUAAUACGUAGGGUGCAAGCGUUAAUCGGAAUUACUGGGCAUAAAGCGUGCGCAGGAGGUUCGGAAAGAAAGAUGUGAAAUCCCGGAGAUCAACUUUGGAACUGCAUUUUUAACUACCGGGCUAGAGUGUGGCAGAGGGAGGUGGAAUUCCGCGUGUAGCAGUGAAAUGCGUAGAUAUGCGGAGGAACACCGAUGGCGAAGGCAGCCUCCUGGGAUAACACUGACGCUCAGGCACGAAAGCGUGGGGAGCAAACAGG
Molecule: ribosomal RNA, 429 nt
Filed under: Acidobacteriota bacterium
Lineage: Bacteria; Pseudomonadati; Acidobacteriota
Description: Acidobacteria bacterium partial 16S ribosomal RNA
Rfam family: Bacterial small subunit ribosomal RNA
Source: RNAcentral